RNAcentral lists this ribosomal RNA (401 nucleotides) under uncultured bacterium. RNAcentral describes it as "bacterial SSU rRNA". It matches the Rfam family "Bacterial small subunit ribosomal RNA", at positions 29 to 416 of the family's 1533-position model. The record is from RNAcentral.
AAUCAACGCUGGCGGCGUGCCUAACACAUGCAAGUCGAACGCGAAAGUCCCGCAAGGGAUAAGUAGAGUGGCAGACGGGUGAGUAACACGUGGGUGACCUGCCUUCGAGUGGGGGAUAACGUCCCGAAAGGGACGCUAAUACCGCAUAACAUCCUGCCUUUGAAGAGGUGGAGAUCAAAGCUGGGGACCGCAAGGCCUGGCACUGGAAGAGGGGCCCGCGUCUGAUUAGCUAGUUGGUGAGGUAACGGCUCACCAAGGCUACGAUCAGUAUCCGGCCUGAGAGGGCGGACGGACACACUGGGACUGAGACACGGCCCAGACUCCUACGGGAGGCAGCAGUGGGGAAUUGUUCGCAAUGGGCGCAAGCCUGACGACGCAACGCCGCGUGGAGGAUGAAGACC